UUCGAAAGCCUGCCGAAGGACGGGCCCACGAACCUCGGCAGGGAAGCGGGAACGACCGGAAGCGGCCGAUCCCUUGGGGUGAAGUCCCGGAAAUCCGGGACCGGACGGCCUCUCAGUCCGAACCCGACAGCUCACCUCGCAGGCGCGGACGAGAGGAAGA
Molecule: small RNA, 160 nt
Filed under: Nocardia nova
Lineage: Bacteria; Bacillati; Actinomycetota; Actinomycetes; Mycobacteriales; Nocardiaceae
Also listed under: 1 other name
Description: c-di-AMP sequence
Rfam family: c-di-AMP riboswitch aptamer (ydaO/yuaA leader)
About the family: This family represents a conserved RNA structure found upstream of the ydaO and yuaA genes in Bacillus subtilis and related genes in other bacteria. The ydaO/yuaA element is thought to act as a genetic "off" switch for the ydaO and yuaA genes in its native state.
Source: RNAcentral